CCUACGGGAGGCAGCAGUGGGGAAUCUUGCGCAAUGGGGGAAACCCUGACGCAGCGACGGCGCGUGAGGGAUGAAGGCCUUCGGGUCGUAAACCUCUGUCAGGGGGGACGAAAUCCUCCCCCGCUAAUAGCGGGGGAAAUUGACGGUACCCCCGAAGGAAGCACCGGCUAACUCCGUGCCAGCAGCCGCGGUAAGACGGAGGGUGCAAGCGUUGCUCGGAAUCACUGGGCGUAAAGAGCGUGUAGGCGGCUCUUUAAGUCGGAGGUAAAAGUCCUCGGCUCAACCGAGGAAGGGCAUCCGAAACUAGUGAGCUAGAGUACGGGAGAGGGAGGUGAAAUUCCCGUUGUAGAGGUAAAAUGCGUAGAUAUCGGGAGGAACACCUGUGGCGAAGGCGGCCUCCUGGACCGAUACUGACGCUGAGACGCGAAAGCGUGGGGAGCGAACAGGAUUAGAUACCCCUGUAGU
Molecule: ribosomal RNA, 465 nt
Filed under: uncultured bacterium
Lineage: Bacteria
Description: partial 16S ribosomal RNA
Rfam family: Bacterial small subunit ribosomal RNA
Source: RNAcentral